This is a small nucleolar RNA of Girardinichthys multiradiatus, 84 nucleotides long. RefSeq annotates it as small nucleolar RNA SNORD79. NCBI's taxonomy places the organism in Eukaryota, Metazoa, Chordata, Actinopteri, Cyprinodontiformes, Goodeidae. The transcript has a single exon. The record is from RefSeq and is a predicted model, not a curated record.
GACUGUCUAUGAUGAAGUUUGUUUAUAAAACAAUGGGAAUCUCUCUGAAAAAGAGUGAAAGAGGACUUUCUUUCUGACACAGCU